ACGCAGAGGAGGCGGAGACUAUCUCAAUGACGUGUUUCCAUAUCAAGCAUGGAACUAUAUGGUGUUCAAAUACAUCAGAAAAAGUGACUGAACAUUGGGUCUCAUUUCUGGAUGAUAGCAUUGAUAAUGCACUGGCUUCUAAGAUAUUGUUUGAUUUCUUGCAAAACAAAAAGCGAAUCCUAGCGAGAAGUUUUCGUUGAUCUGCAGAAGAGAAUGCGCAAACGAUGAGCCUUUAAAACCGUGUACGUGUCAAGACUGCUAUCAACAUUUUGAGAAUCAACUAUUCACCUCUCAAAAAGAAGAAACCGAAGACUUUGAUACGCUUCUGAAAGCGAGUCUUUCAGCAAGCCUUGAUCUCAUCUUUGUAGACUCAGAAAACAAGACAAACUUGUCAGCACACCAACUCAUAGUUAGGAGUAACUCUCCAACUCCAUUAGACUGCCGAAUUGUGCGUGGAAAAACCCCGGCGGAAAUAGACAACGUUCUUAUGAAUAUUGUACCGGCAAGGGCAUUACAGAAGUAGGAGCCCCUCGCCUGGGCGCAGUCCACGCAGAAGCCCCAGUCCACGCACAAGCCCCAGAGCACAGAUGCGCCAGAUUACAAAUGAAAUUAAAAGAGGAAACAUGCAGUAUAUCAAGCAGACAAAAGUGCAGCAUAUUGGUCCUGGCCAACGCAACUCUGCAGUCAUAAGCACUACAAGAGGCGUCACAAAAGGCCAGCCUAGUGGCCAGCGGCAAACACAGGUUGCACAACGGACAGGACCGCACCACAGCAAAAGCCCCCACCGCCAAAAUCAGCAAAGUGCAGGAGGACACAAAAUCCGAUGGGAUUUAGAUAGUCCUGAGUCACCUCCAAACAGGGACCGGCCACUGACAGCCAAGGAGCAUCUACGACCGGAGAACAACAUUGUGAUAGAUUGGGAUGAGAGUCAACUCGAAGGGGACAUCACGCCAUGGAACAGAGCAUCUAAACCUGUCAACGCGGAUGAGUUGCGGAGACGUUUGGAAAUAGUAAAGAAGAAAAAUUUGCAAAAUUGGGCUGUCAAAAAGAAUUCAUGACAGGCAAGUAUUGAGUUUAUUUGUCUAGAGAAGAACAAAAAAAGAGAGAUCCUAGAUCUUUACUUCACAGUUUUAACAUAUGCCAGGAUAAGGAUGAGGCAUUUUAGGUCCUAAAAUGUUAAAAUAUAGCUGUGUGCAAAUGAAUGACAGAGCCAAUUUAAUAGGUCCACCAAAUUUUUCAUUAAAACAAUAAUUUCAUUUAGAUUUUUAUUUAAAGACGAAUGAAAUGACUUAAUCAUUGGUAUUCUUAUACAAUUAAGAGACGCUACACAAGUUAACAGAAAACUAAACGUUUCAUUGAAAUCAAGAUGGAGAAUAAGAGACAGCCUUUUGGGUAGAUUUAUAAAGCUUCUUUCAAUAUUGACUAAAACUACCAUGCCACAGUGCGUCUGGUUUUACUUGGGAGCUAAAAAAGAAGAAAAAACUCUGCAGGCAGAUUUAUAAUGAAGAGUUCCCAAAUAAAUAAAGAAUCAUUGAUUUUAGUCCUUAUAAGGUGAGCAGAUGGCUUCCUUUUGCAGCUGGUAAACUGUAAAGUUUUAAACUUUUUGUCUAGCAUUAAGAUGAAAGAGGCAAAUCAGAGAAUAGGGAUCUUUUGAGCAUGAUUUCUUGUCCAUAAAAAGUAGAAAAUAAAUGAAUGUGGCAUUCAGCACUUAUGAAAUGAAAAAUUGGAACAAAGUAGUUUUAUUUUACUUCCUGUUGCUGUUAGUUUCUAGAAUAAAGCAGUCUUAAUUUGUUAUUUUCCUCUUGAAAUGUUACCCAAUAAAAUAUUUAUUAUUCUGAGUGUAAAAUCUCUACAUUGCUGUAAUGAAGAAAUUAUAUGAUUUUUGAUUUUAUGUAGUGCUUUAACAUCUCUUAAGCAAACAAAGAGCCACUGCAUUCGGUUUGAAAUUAAAAACCAAAAUAUAUUUACCUCACCAAAAUUUAACGUAGGAUACAAAAGAUGCAUUAAAAUUUUCCAUAUUCUAGUGAUAAGUUAAAAAAAAAAAAACAUGUUUUCGUUUACACUAAUCCACACUUCCCGCUGAGAAAAAAAAAACAGACUUUACUUGAGUCAAAUCGAAUAUAAAACCAAUUUCGGUAUUUUCUGUGAUGACAGAAUGCUACUAUCUGCAAACUUUUUUUUUUGGACAAAAUUAAAGAUACUUUGAAUCAGAGUUCUGGUUAAGUUCUAGUUAUGUGCUUAAUGUAUAGGUUGAUUCCAAUGUCUGAUUAGACCUACAUUGAUUAUGGUUUAUAUUGCGAGUGAGAAAUCUGAAUCUACUGUUUUACAUUUUUUUCUCUCUUGUAACUUAAUGUUGAAAAUUUUUCACGUGUUCAUCGUGUUUCACAUGCAAUUUUGAUGAGAAAACAUGUUCUGCAGGGCACAUGUCUUAUCUUGUCUGGUGGUCCAUUCAUGAACUUCAAAGCUGAAGUCCAUCAGAGAAUUUGCAAAUAAAUGCAUCAAACAAAGUACAACAAGUGGUACAAGAACUUUGCAAAAUUUUACUUCUGCAGGGUAACUUAAAUAAUACAAAAAGCUUACAAAAUAUGAUCUGACAGAACAGAAUACAACAAUCUUACCUUCAUUUUCAGCCUGAUACAUUCAGUAUCAGCUUCUUCAGGGUAGGAAAAAAAGGAGUAAAAACUUAAUUGAUAUUAUCACAAUCGGCUUGAAUAUUCAUAGUGGAGCCAGCAUACCUGAAAGAAUUGGCAGUGAGGUGAAAAAGACUGAUUAUAAUUUUCUGCACUAUUUGAAACUUCUUCAUCAAACAGCACCCUGAAACAAUACAAACAACUGGGUGAAAAUCUUUUAACAACAGCAGAAGUUCAAUUCAAUAACUGAGAGCUUAACGAACAAAUAAAACUAAAAGUUAAAAUAUUUACAAAAAUUUCAUUAAAUUCAUAUUUUAGGAGCCCUAAAUUUUCCUAAUUGUUUUAAAAAGGGCUUGAACUCUUAGAAGGGGUAGCAAUGAAGGCUGUUUUUGGGCCCCUGAUGAGGGCCGUUUUUGGACCCUCCCUAAAAUGUGGCAAUUACUGCAUGAAUCACGAUUAGAGCUUAUGCAAUUUACAAUAAUAACCGUGAUUUGGACAAUAAAAUUUUCGUUACUUAAACAUAGGUCCAUAAGCGUGUUCCAGCCACAUCUGCAUGUUUUCACAAGAGGAGCAUUAGCUACCUGAAACGAUCUUUGGAUAUGUUACCAAGGAAGGUUUAAGAAAUGUUGUUUGGUUUAGUUAGAUCAUGCGCUCAUGGUUAAAAAAACUUGUUAAUAAACUAGAUAUUUCGGCACAUUUUAAAAAUUAGCAGCAAACAUGACUUUUGAACUGUGUGUACAAUAGGCAAUCAGAGGAAAAGACCUUAUUUUUAUCCCAUGUAAAGUUUUCUUAACGUUUCUGUUUUGUUCAGUGGCACAUUCUAGUAUGAUUAUCCAAAAAUGCAUCUUUAAGUUGAAAAUGUUUAGAGUUGGGCCGGGUAUCCGGCGAUUAUCCGGAUUGCCGGAUUAUCCGGCCGGAUACCGGAUAUCCGGCUCCGGCCGGAUACGAUUUUCGCGAGUAUCCGGAUCCGGCCGGAUAAUCGCGCUAUCCGGUUUUUGGACCCGCCGAAUAGUGCUUUUUUGGCCCUGAAAAUUUCGAUAAAUUUUUGGUGAUAUUCUUUCUUUUUUCUUCCCUAUCAAUACAAUUUUCUGUAUUUUUUCCUGAAACUUUUUACUUUUUUUUCUUCUCCUUCAAUACAGCUCUGUUUAUUUUUUUUCUUUCAACAUGAAUUACAUGCUGCUAAGUCUUGAACAAUUUUAAUUAUAUUCAGUCUGUUUUGCAAUUCAUGCCACCAUUUCUAAGUUUUAGUGCAUUGUUUAUUUUUAUUACAUAUUACAGUUUCCCUUUUAUUAUUUUUACUAUUUUAAAGUGGCAAAUUAAGCAAUCUAUCUGAAUUAAAAUGAAAAAAUUAAAAGUAGGCUCAUGUAUUUUAAUUUUUUUAAAUUUCAAGUUUACAUGAAUUUGUAAGAAUGGGUGAAGUCUAAGCAGCAGAUUUUUCAAAAGUAGAAAUUUGAUAACGCUAAACUGCAUAAAAUGACAGUUUAUUAUUAAAGAAUCGAAUGUAGAAAUAGUAAACUGAAAAAUAUUUUCAAAGAUACUAAAUAGCAAUUUCAUUUUUUUUUGUUUAAAUUGAAAAUUGAGAUUAGAAGUAGCCAAAUGGAAAAGCUGGAGUAUCCAAGCGCAUAACAAUUUUUCUGAAUGAUGAAUGAAACACAUUUAGUUAACAGGAAUAGUUUUUCAUUUUCUUAUUCACUUAUCUCUCACGCUGACUGAGACAUGUUAGGGGAGGAAGUUUUUAAAGGCAUGAAAUUUUAUAUCUUGUAGAUGAAUGUUCAUAAUUCAUGAUUUUUGUACUAUUGCAAUUGUGACACUAGAAAUGAGGCAAGAAAUUCAAGGCCCGAAUUUUGUUAGCUACGACCGAUCGUGAGUCGAGUAAACUUAACCUCAAAAACGCGACAUUUUUCGCGCGAAAAAGCACUAUCCGGAUCCGGUACUAUCCGGAUCCGGCCGGAUACUUUUUUGAAUUAUCCGGUAUCCGGAUCCGGCCGGAUACAAAAAACCGAUAUCCGGAUCCGGUUCCGGUGACGCGAAAAUUCCAUUUCGGCCCAACUCUAAAAAUGUUGUAUUUUCAUGACAAUCAUAACGAAAAAUGCAGUUGCACCGAGAUUUCAUAACGCCCUUUUAUAUUCAUCUAACAAAAUCUGAAAAAUGUUUUUCGAUUUUCCUUUAGUUAGCACUCUUAUGGUUCACAAAUGUUAGUGU
This 4832-nucleotide long non-coding RNA is filed under the name Bemisia tabaci. RNAcentral's name for it is "lncRNA ENSSSA2NGG004429". Lineage: Eukaryota; Metazoa; Arthropoda; Insecta; Hemiptera; Aleyrodidae. The record is from RNAcentral.